Podarcis lilfordi (Lilford's wall lizard) is the source of this 72-nucleotide non-coding RNA. Lineage: Eukaryota; Metazoa; Chordata; Lepidosauria; Squamata; Lacertidae. The record is from the annotation of a GenBank genome assembly.
UCAUAGCUCAGUUGGUAGAGCAUGGGAUUCUUAAUCCCUGGGUUGUGGGUUCCAGCCCCGCGUUGGGCAAAA